This 253-nucleotide ribosomal RNA is filed under the name uncultured bacterium. Its description in RNAcentral is "partial 16S ribosomal RNA". It matches the Rfam family "Bacterial small subunit ribosomal RNA", at positions 524 to 776 of the family's 1533-position model. The record is from RNAcentral.
UACAGAGGGUGCGAGCGUUAUUCGGAAUUACUGGGCGUAAAGCGUGCGUAGACGGUAGCGUAAGUCAGAUGCGAAAGCCCCGGGCUCAACCUGGGAAUUGCAUUUGAGACUGCUCUGCUCGGGUGCGGAAGAGGGAAGCGGAAUUUCCGGUGUAGCGGUGAAAUGCGUAGAUAUCGGAAGGAACACCAGUGGCGAAAGCGGCUUCCUGGUCCGACACCGACGUUCAGGCACGAAAGCGUGGGGAGCAAACAGG